AAAUCUCACGUUCUCUCUCUACCUCUGGUCUCUCUCUCUCUCACGUUCUCUCUCUACCUCUGGUUUCUGCAGCAGCAUCUCUCUCUCUCACGUUCUCUCUCAACCUCUGGUCUCUCUCUCUCUCACGUUCUCAUCAUCCUGACUCCUGUAUCGGCGAAUGAUGAUACUAUUUUCUCAAUCAUCAAUUGCUAGUCUUCAGUCAGUGUGUGGUACCAUUACUAAAAGCUCUGAAUUGAUCUGGACCGUUUGAUUGAAGUUUACUAAAAAGAGCUGAUCAAGUACUACAGUUUCAUAUCAGGUAGACUUUGUGGUGAGAUGAGAUAAAAGAGCAGAAUUAUUUGGCUCCACUUACACGUCUCUGGACUCACCAAUUUGUACUUGUGAACUCACAAAACUCCAACCAACCAAAGUUCUUUU
Molecule: long non-coding RNA, 417 nt
Filed under: Aquilegia coerulea
Lineage: Eukaryota; Viridiplantae; Streptophyta; Magnoliopsida; Ranunculales; Ranunculaceae
Description: long non-coding RNA (ACOE_LNC002365)
Source: RNAcentral